Molecule: ribosomal RNA, 303 nt
Filed under: uncultured bacterium
Lineage: Bacteria
Description: bacterial SSU rRNA
Rfam family: Bacterial small subunit ribosomal RNA
Source: RNAcentral
UGGGGGAUAUUGGACAAUGGGGGAAACCCUGAUCCAGCGAUGCCGCGUGAGGGAAGAAGGUUUUCGGAUUGUAAACCUCUGUGGAGGGGGACGAUAAUGACGGUACCCCUUUAGGAAGCCACGGCUAACUACGUGCCAGCAGCCGCGGUAAUACGUAGGUGGCGAGCGUUGUCCGGAAUUACUGGGUGUAAAGGGAGUGUAGGCGGGAAAGCAAGUCAGAAGUGAAAACUAUGGGCUUAACCCAUAGCCUGCUUUUGAAACUGUUUUUCUUGAGUGAAGUAGAGGCAAGCGGAAUUCCUAGUG